This 253-nucleotide ribosomal RNA is filed under the name uncultured bacterium. RNAcentral describes it as "partial 16S ribosomal RNA". It matches the Rfam family "Bacterial small subunit ribosomal RNA", at positions 524 to 776 of the family's 1533-position model. The record is from RNAcentral.
UACAGGGGGGGCAAGCGUUGUUCGGAAUUACUGGGCGUAAAGGGUUCGUAGGUGGCCAACUAAGUCAGACGUGAAAUCCCUCAGCUUAACUGGGGAACUGCGUCUGAUACUGGUUGGCUUGAGUGCAGGAGAGGAACGCGGAAUUCCAGGUGUAGCGGUGAAAUGCGUAGAUAUCUGGAGGAACACCGGUGGCGAAGGCGGCGUUCUGGACUGCAACUGACACUGAGGAACGAAAGCCAGGGGAGCAAACGUG